RNAcentral lists this ribosomal RNA (190 nucleotides) under uncultured bacterium. RNAcentral describes it as "partial 16S ribosomal RNA". It matches the Rfam family "Bacterial small subunit ribosomal RNA", at positions 1312 to 1500 of the family's 1533-position model. The record is from RNAcentral.
CCGACUACAUGAAGCUGGAAUCGCUAGUAAUCGCGGAUCAGAAUGCCGCGGUGAAUACGUUCCCGGGUCUUGUACACACCGCCCGUCACACCAUGGGAGUCGGAAAUGCCCGAAGUCUGUGACCCAACCAUUAAGGAGGGAGCAGCCGAAGGCAGGUCGGAUGACUGGGGUGAAGUCGUAACAAGGUACC